AUGGAGUCAAGCAGCCACAUGUCUAGGUUGCAGCCUCAGCUGAGGACCCAAACAACAUCUAGCAUUGACCACCUCUGAGAUGACUCUAGCACCAGUCAUCAUCCAACUGCAUCUAUGUGAGAAAUCCAAAGCAGGAACCUUGGGUGAAAUCUGUUCCUGACCCGCUGCCACUGAACCUGUCUGAGAUCCCAGAGUCCCGGUUGGAAACUGAAUAGAUCAGGAACUUUGGAGACUGGCCCGGCUUCUGCAGCUCACCCGUUUAAUAACUGGACAAAGGAAGACAACAGUUCCAUUGCAUCCAGAGCACUGUCUGCCUUGAAAGAAUCACCUGACAGGCCUCUCUGACUUAUGGAGACAACACAUUCCACCUCGAGGAGUCCUGGUCUGGUCCUCGUACCAGGUGAAAUAUAAUUCAGCCAGCUUUGAUGGGGCCCAGAGCAGCAAAGAGCUCUGCACCAGGUGCAGCCUGCCAUGUCAACAGCCCUGUCACUAGGGCCCCUGAAGACACAGAAGAUUUAACAACAUUAACCACCUGGACAUCACUGACGCUUAGAGACACUCCACUGAAUAUCAGUAAAAUACAUAUUCCUUUCAGAACAUUUGCUAAGAUAGACCACAUUGUGGGCCGCGAGGACUCAGAGAUGACAUUGUUUGUAUUGCGGACAGUAGAACCAUUGACAAAAUCAUUUGCAAGAUGACCAAGAAGAUACUUGUCACAUCCAAACUGAAGAACAAGACACUUUCUUAGAACCUUAGAAGAUGAACUGUGUGUUGGAAGCAAGUACGCAAAAGCCCUUGGGGAUAACAUUGGGUACUUGUAUUGACUAAUUGGCUCUGUGGCUGUUAAAUCUUCUGGAGAUGGCAGAGAGUUAUAAUUUAAUCUCAAAAACACAAAAUAAUAUGAAAAUUGUAUUUCUUUAUUCAACAAAUAUUUUCUUGUACCUUGCAAGACCUUGUAAGGAAUAUGUGAGAUGGUGAAUUCCUUGUCACGGGAAGAUGCUAAAUUUUACAGUGAUAGAUCCAAACACAAGCAGAGACAGUGAUUCAUGGUAGAUAGUCAAUAUAUAUUUGUUUGAUAAAUGGAUAAAAAAAUAAAUGGAUUAAUACAGGAA
RNAcentral lists this long non-coding RNA (1112 nucleotides) under Equus asinus (donkey). RNAcentral's name for it is "lncRNA (ENSEASG00005036940.1)". Lineage: Eukaryota; Metazoa; Chordata; Mammalia; Perissodactyla; Equidae. The record is from RNAcentral.